AUCCAGCCGACGAGUCUAAAGUAGGACGAAACGCGCGUCCUGGAU
Schistosoma curassoni is the source of this 45-nucleotide non-coding RNA. The record is from Rfam. NCBI's taxonomy places the organism in Eukaryota, Metazoa, Platyhelminthes, Trematoda, Strigeidida, Schistosomatidae.